RNAcentral lists this transfer RNA (71 nucleotides) under Candidatus Nomurabacteria bacterium CG1_02_47_685. Its description in RNAcentral is "tRNA-Met". It matches the Rfam family "tRNA". Rfam says of the family: Transfer RNA (tRNA) molecules are approximately 80 nucleotides in length. Their secondary structure includes four short double-helical elements and three loops (D, anti-codon, and T loops). The record is from RNAcentral. Lineage: Bacteria; Candidatus Nomuraibacteriota. RNAcentral also lists the same sequence under 7 other names.
AGCGGGGUGGAGGAGUGGUACCUCGAGAGGCUCAUAACCUCUAGGCGCACGUUCGAAUCGUGCCCCCGCAA